RNAcentral lists this long non-coding RNA (2502 nucleotides) under Heterocephalus glaber (naked mole-rat). RNAcentral's name for it is "lncRNA (ENSHGLG00100035148.1)". Lineage: Eukaryota; Metazoa; Chordata; Mammalia; Rodentia; Bathyergidae. The record is from RNAcentral.
GCUUUUCAGGCAGCUGGCCCGGCCAUCAUUACUGCUUCCUCGCCAGCGCUGCCCCUUGGCCCCAUGGACUCCCUGUGUGGCUCCAAGUUCUGGUUAACCUUAUCUGAUGACCGAGCCCCAGAAAGUUCAGAAAUCCAAUGAUCCUGACCAUGAACCUGUCUGAAGGCGACACCAGGCAUGUGUACACUGGGGAUGCGUAAACGCAUGGGUGGUGAGCACUUGAUGGGGAAGUUGGUGAGAUCCUGUCCCAAGGCUGUUUGACCAGCUGGGAAGAUGAAGAUGGGGCAGGUGGGGAUUCGCUGGCUCCUCUGAGGAGGUUUCCAGACUCCUUUUCUCUGGCUCUCUCUGUGCUCCAGAUGUAAGGUACUUAGCAACAAUUCUCUGUCUAGGUCCGUGGGCCCCCAUUGGUCAGGCCUAUGCUCCCUUUGCUGGGCAUGUCCUGGUCCCUUGCAUGCUGUGAUCCCUUGGAGUUCCAGCUCCCACGUCCCCUUCUGGGUUCUACCCAGCCCCAAAUUCAGUCACCCACAAGCUGUGUGACCUGGAGCUAGUCACUCACCCUCUCCAGUCUGGAGCAGCGUUUAGGGGAAGCUCUGGAGCCCCCUUCAAAUCUGGAGUUGCCCAGUCUUGGGUUUGGGGGCCAAAGCCUUGAUUCAGGGUCCCAGAGUAUGGGAGUCUCCCAUGCUUCCUCUUGGGCCACUUUGCCUAGCAGGAGAGUGAGGAGCCAUGAGAGUGUCGGUGAUGGGCAAAGCUCAACUGUCCAUGUACUUGGGCUCUCAAAUGGAGAUGGUGACAUGCAGACCUCCGGAGAAGCCGAAGUGGCAGAGGGCAGGAGGUGGGCACCUCUUAGCUUACCGAGCCCGAGCACAUCCUGUCCUCCCAGGAACCCUGCCAGGCCAAGGCCCAGUGUGGUCCCCUCCCUCCAUUCCAUUCCAGCAAGGGUACUUGACCGGGGUGCUGCACCACUGUGACCUCUAAGCUCUUGGCUUUUAUUGAGAUUUGUUCCCUUGUGACCUGAGGCUGGCUUCUCACAUCCCUUGGGCCUGGGUUGAGGGCCAAGACUUAGGACAGAAAGAGAGUCAGGGAAGUGGCCUUGGGAAGGGAGCUUUGCCAAGCCUGCCUUCUGGCCCACACCUUAACCAACCUUGAACCUUGGAUUACCUGCUGGUCUUUAGGGAGGUGGUCAGUCCCCAGCAGGAGCUACAGCUGACCCACCCAGGGAGGCAGGGACAGAGGGCCUGGGCUGUGCGCCCCUCUGUUGGGAGCGAUGCGCUAUAGAUCGCUAUGGCCAGGCCUAACUCACCUCCUCCCUGCCGUGGAGGUUGUGGUGGAGCAAGGCCUGGCAAUAAAGAGGACUGUCUUCCUUCCCACUCAUCCGGCAAAAACAAUCAGACAUUAUCUCCUACAGACCCUAGCCAUUCUCCCUGUUCCAAUCAGGCAUGCCCUUUCGGUUUCCUUAUCUACACUAUAAAUAAAGGCGCAGAGGGUACAAGCCUCCCAUUUUCUCUCAUCAAGACAAAGAGUUUCCACCUGGCCUCAGCUAUAUAGUCUUCUUUGCCUUAUUCUUUAAGUUUCUUAAUCUCUCACCAUCAUUUCACCCCCUACUCCACUAGCACACCACACCAUGGGGCUGCCCCAGGGCCUGAUCCCUGGGCGUGGUGGGCAGGACAAGACCUGAGCGAGCCCUUGCAAGGGUGGCUGGCCUGUCCCCUCCCCAGCUGGAGCUGCUGUGUUUGAGGCUGGGUCCCUGGGGCAGUGCCACAGGGCUCAGAGGUCGUGGGAAACCAGGCUAAAGCCUGGAUUUGCUUUCUCCUCCUGACUGGAUAUUCAGGUUUCUAGUCCAGUGGCUCCCCAAACCCCAGCUGGUUCUCUCCCCGGUGCUGGCAGCCCCUUCCUUCCCUGGCUCUGUGGGAAGCAGUGCAGAAAUGAGGUGGGCCAGGCUGGGCUGCACAGAUACAAAAAGACUUAAUAUUUCAGCUAAGGCAAGGGGGGUUGGGGUCGUGCCGAGCCCUAUAGAGUGGCAGGAAGCACCACAUAAUGGGUUGGGGGCUGAAACUCCGGCUCUUCUGCCUGAGUUCAAAUCCUGCAUCAGCCAGGGUCUCAGGUGUCACAAACAGGACAUGAUAAUCCUGGCACUCUGUGGAGCUCCAUUACCAGAGCUCUGGCUCUUCCAAAGACUUCCUCUUCCGGCCCAGGCAGAUCAGCAAGGUGAGGGAAGUCAGAGUGUGCCCUUUCCCUCCUGCACCCACAUUUCUGCUGAGAUAAAUGACCUUGUCAGUCGGUCCUUUCCAAGUGACAAUCUGUAAACUUGGGAGCUGCAAGUUAUGGGCAGCCCCUCCCCUCCCACACAGGAUUAAGGAAGUAAUGACUAUUCUCGCAACAGAGGCGGCCACAGGCUGGGCCUGGGACUGGGAAGUCCCUGGCAGAGUUAGGGCCACGGGCUGGGAGUCCCCACUGCUGCCUGCUGUGGGCUUGUGUCCCCAGGGGUCUCAGCUGCUGUGCCCC